CAGCGUCACGAGUGGGAAUCACGAUUAUUGGGCCUAAAGCGUCCGUAGCCGGUUUGGUAAAUCUUUAGUGAAAUCGGCCAGCUUAACUGGUCGGCGUGCUAGGGAGACUGUGAAACUAGGAACCGGGAGGAGUUAGAGGUAUACAAUGGGGAGCGGUAAAAUGCAAUAAUCCUUUGUAGACCACCUGUGGCGAAGGCGUCUAACUAGAACGGAUUCGACGGUGAGGGACGAAAGCUGGGGGAGCGAACCGGAUUAGAUACCCGCGUAGUCC
This 271-nucleotide ribosomal RNA is filed under the name uncultured archaeon. Its description in RNAcentral is "partial 16S ribosomal RNA". It matches the Rfam family "Archaeal small subunit ribosomal RNA", at positions 477 to 747 of the family's 1478-position model. The record is from RNAcentral.